This 116-nucleotide ribosomal RNA is filed under the name Conopomorpha litchiella. Its description in RNAcentral is "partial 16S ribosomal RNA". The record is from RNAcentral. Lineage: Eukaryota; Metazoa; Arthropoda; Insecta; Lepidoptera; Gracillariidae.
AAGAUUUUAAUGAUCGAACAGAUCAAAAUUUUAAACUUUUGCGUUUAAAUUUUAUCUUAAUCCAACAUCGAGGUCGCAAACUUUUUUUUUUAUAUGAACUAAAAAAAAAAAUUACG